RNAcentral lists this long non-coding RNA (1157 nucleotides) under Haliotis rubra (blacklip abalone). RNAcentral's name for it is "uncharacterized LOC124281691, transcript variant X3". The record is from RNAcentral. Lineage: Eukaryota; Metazoa; Mollusca; Gastropoda; Lepetellida; Haliotidae.
UCCCUGAACGUACAAACAAUUUUCGAUUCCGAUUCUCUUAUCCGAGAUGUUGUAGCGAAAUGGCCUGGAGCAACACACGACGCCCGGAUCUUUCAUGAAAGCGGCGUUCGUCAGCUGUUUGAAAGGGGUUUUAUGCCAGCUGGGUCCCAUUUACUUGGAGACAGUGGCUAUCCAUGCAGAAGAUAUAUUUUAACACCCUUCCUGCACCCACAAGCUGGACCAGAGACAAAUUAUAACAGGUAUUCUGUUUGUUUAUAUUCACAGACAUGUAAACUUGUCCGACACGGUAUGAAUUAGAGUAGCUUCCCUUGGGAAGGUGGUAAAUUCUAUAAUUUGAAAUUGUGUUUUUUAAACGAAAUGACAUUGUAGCUUUGUAAUUCUUCAUAAAACGGAUUAGCGAUUAAGGAUUUAACGAUGCUUAUUUUAUUAGAUGAGUAAACGUAGUAAAUAUAAAAGAUGAUAUACUACUGUCAGAUGUUCAUCUACAUUUAUGAAUGCAAUAUAACAAUAAUGCAAAUCUCCAAAAAUACAUAUGGGUUCAAAUAUCAUACUGCAUGUAAAUUAUAAGAAAAAUGUCUUUUGCAAUCAAAUAUGGUUUUCAUAUCUUGUGAUGAACAUAUACUUAAAAAAUUUGAACAAAAUUGAUGAGAAAUUAAAGAAAUAUAGAGUUCCUGUAUGAAAUUACAAAUUAGAAAUUGAGCCAGUAUUUCAGUCAAAUAAAUUUAAAAUUCAUCUGAAUCAUUAGCAUAGAAUUAUACAUGAACUCAGUGAAUUUGAUUAAUUAUUUCAAUACAUUGAAAUAUGUUUAGGCUUGAAAACAUUUCAAUUAAAUGUCCUUAAAAAUUCCUUUUAGAUCUCACAAGAAUACAAGGAGUGUUGUUGAGAGAGGCAUUGGACAAUUAAAGAGAAGAUUUCAUGUCCUGCAUGGAGAGAUUAGGCUGACACCUCAAAAAGCAUCAAAGGUUGUGAUUGUGUGUGCCGUGCUCCAUAAUAUCUGUAAACAAAGAAAUAUCCCACUACCUCCUGGACAAGAUGGACACCAAGAUGGACAGAGACCGCCUCCCCAGCUCCCUCUUCCUGUCAGUCACGGGAACUGGAAGUUGUACUGAGGCCGGAACAGGGACUGUACUUGCAGCUGGAUCAGGGACCAUGGCUGG